GACAGCAGCAGCCGCGGGAAUACGUAGGGUGCGAGCGUUAAUCGGAAUUACUGGGCGUAAAGCGUGCGCAGGCGGUUGUGUAAGACAGGUGUGAAAUCCCCGGGCUUAACCUGGGAACUGCGCUCGUGACUGCACAGCUAGAGUAUGGCAGAGGGGGGUGGAAUUCCACGUGUAGCAGUGAAAUGCGUAGAGAUGUGGAGGAACACCGAUGGCGAAGGCAGCCCCCUGGGCCAAUACUGACGCUCAUGCACGAAAGCGUGGGGAGCAAACAGGAUUAGAUACCCGUGUAGUCCCUGUCUCUUAUAA
Molecule: ribosomal RNA, 306 nt
Filed under: uncultured bacterium
Lineage: Bacteria
Description: partial 16S ribosomal RNA
Rfam family: Bacterial small subunit ribosomal RNA
Source: RNAcentral